AGAGCAGGGGUUUUACGUGGCACAUUACAGAAUGACGCAUCUCCAUGCUCAAAGGAAGCUUUAAUGGUAGUAUCACUCUUCACUAAGCAACAACUGAAGGAAGGGAAGAAACUCUGAAUUAUUAGGAUUCUGAUAAAGGAAAACUUUGAUUAUAUAAAUUGCACUAGAAGAGAGAGAAAGAUGAAGUUCGGCAAAGAGUUCAAGAAACAAAAGGUGCCUGAGUGGACUGAAGCCUAUAUGGAUUAUAA
RNAcentral lists this unclassified non-coding RNA (248 nucleotides) under Hevea brasiliensis (rubber tree). The record is from RNAcentral. Lineage: Eukaryota; Viridiplantae; Streptophyta; Magnoliopsida; Malpighiales; Euphorbiaceae.